Non-coding RNA from Nelumbo nucifera (sacred lotus), 1399 nucleotides. NCBI's taxonomy places the organism in Eukaryota, Viridiplantae, Streptophyta, Magnoliopsida, Proteales, Nelumbonaceae. The record is from RefSeq and is a predicted model, not a curated record.
GAUUUUCAAAUACAUUUGACACCCCUAUCCCCCCACCUCCACUUUAGGUUUUGGCCCCUUUUAUAAAAAUUUCCUAGCUCCACCUUUGCUUGCUAAUUUUUUUGGUAUCCGAGUAAUGUGCUUACAAGAGUUGUCUGAGUACAUUGUGCCAUUGCAUUUUGACUCGACUUACCUUGGUAAAGACAGAAGUGGGAGAUGAUUAAUGUUAGGUGGGUGGGUACCCACCCUCCAGGCAUCAAUUAUUUGGGGAACCGAUACUCCAAAAAACUCAUUUUCUAUGGGAUUCAUUAUAGCAACUCGAACACUGGAAAGUUGGUCAAUUACCCAAUCACCCGAUUGACCAACUUAGUCCUACAAGAUACUGACAAACGAACAAAAGCUAUGUGUAAAACCCGAUGUAUGAAGGCCUUGAAUGAUCCAAUCACUCCAGACUUAAUAGAUAUCCAUUUUAUCAUCCAAGGUGUUAGAGUUGAGCUUAAUUGGUACUCCCAUGGUUUUGAAAACUGACAUGUGAACGAAAUCAAUCACUUUGACCACCAUUUUCUGGAUCAGCGGUUCUUUGAUCAAUUCAUUAUUAUUUUUUUUUCAAGUUGACUGGCACAGUUGUCUGGUCCGAUCCAAUUUUCAAAACAGUGAUUCUGAAUGACAUGCCUUUUUUAUCCCCGGAUCUUAGAACACUUUUUACUUUUUUUAGCAAAAGGCUUUUUCGUUGGUUAUUAACAUGGGAAAAUCUAUGAUAUGGAUCAAUCAACAUUUGGCUUUUUGUUUCGGUGAAUACGGGUUAUCCCAGGUAACCGGUUUCAAAAACAACUAUUUAAAUUAUAUUUCAAAAAAGAAAUUCAUUUCAAGAUAAGGAAGAUGUUGACGUACGUCUUCAUCAUUAAACGUCACCCUCCUCCCCCUUUUCUCUUUCUCUCAAAAUUCCAACCCCCAUUGAUUUUUCCCCAAAUUCCAACACCCAUGCCUUGCGUUAUGCCAACCUCAUUGCCAAGAAGCAACCGAGUCCUGCUACAGAGAGAGAGGCAACCUUUAUUGCCGAUGGAAAAUGGCUUCCCAAGCUGCAAUCGAGUCCAUUGUCGCCUUCAAGAGACAAGACAACCUUCGUUGGCGGAAGGAUUCUGUCAUCGAAGAAGAGUUCCACAAUGCACAUAUCCGUGGGCAACUGCUGAGGUGGUGAAAUAGCUGAAUUGUAGCACUGGAGAUUGAAUUGCAGUUAUGCCACUAGGAGAGGAGGAAUUUCAUUUGGUAGCCAUGUUAUCUAGGAAGAAUGAUGAACAAUAUUUAUGUUUUUGGGGUUUUAAUGUUGCACCAGGGCUUUACAAUUCUUGUCUUGUCAUGCUAAAUCUUAGAUGUCUUGGCAUGGUAUUUGAUCUUGAUGAAACACUUGUUAUAAACACAA